This is a non-coding RNA of Chiloscyllium plagiosum (whitespotted bambooshark), 1168 nucleotides long. NCBI's taxonomy places the organism in Eukaryota, Metazoa, Chordata, Chondrichthyes, Orectolobiformes, Hemiscylliidae. The record is from RefSeq and is a predicted model, not a curated record.
CAGCCCUUUAAUCGCGGAUCGCUGGUCCAGGGCUGCGCUAUAGUCUCAGCUGCUGCUGCUGCAUCCUAGUCUCACUCUCUCUCUCUCUGUUUGUGUGGGGAGUGGGGGCAAGUGCAAUCCUGGUGAAUGCACCAACCUUCCUAUCUUCCCCCCCCACCCCCAUACCCUCCUUUAUUCCCCUUCCCUCUCACCCCCUCCUAAAAAUUGAUGCCUCAGUUCUGUCUGAGAACUGAUUCCUUCCCCCCCUCUCUCUCUCUCUCACACACACAGCUUCACUCAGUGCACUCGUCCAGCCGCCUCUCACCAGCACAGCCAUGCAAAGAUGAGCAGUAGGCCGAGCAACAUCUCCGGGAGCGUCAGCAUGGUUUCCGCGGCGAUGUCGGCCCCAGAGCCGGCCCCCAGCAGCACGGCGGCGGAUCCCAGCGUCUCGUGGUUGCCCGACACUCCAACGGCGCUGGAGCAGCCGAUAUUCCUGAUGACCACGGCGGCACAGGGCAUCUCGGGGUUCUUUGUGUGGACGGCUCUCCUAAUCACGUGCCACCAGAUAAACACAAACACUGAAAAACAACAUGGCUAUUGUGGGUGGAAGGAUGAAUGGGAAAGCAGUGGUCCCUAAUCACAGGAUCUGCUGGAAUGUUCCUUCUGCUGCUCUGAAUGCUGCUUCUCGGGUGUACCUACCUUCUCCAGCUGCUUUCAUUGGUUUGACAUGUUCAAACAUCAGCAAGGUCCCUGACUCGUUUGUUUAAAAAUCGAAGCUUACAGCAACUGCUGGAGAAAAGAUCAACUGGUUUUCUUGUGUUUUACUGCAGAGAACAGAGAGACCUCCUGAGCCUGUGGAGAUCCAAGGGCUUCUCCCUUUGUCUUUCACAGUCCCACGCUGCUCAGCUACCUAAGAGCCAAUUGUGCUGUUGUCAGGCAGAAAGCAUUUGUUUUCGAUUGGUCUGUGGACUAAAGACCAAUUCAUCAGAUACUUGGUGCUGGUUUGAACUCCAUUUGUAAAAAAAAAAAUCCAGUUCAUUGACACCUUCUGCUUGAACCAGUAACUAUAUAAGCACUGUUUACAAUAAGUGUAAACUUCUUACUUUCAAAAGGCAUGCAGCAACCCUUCAGUAAUCCUUGAGUUUUAAAACAAUCUUUUCUCAUUCCAAACUACCAUUAAAAAGAAUAA